Molecule: long non-coding RNA, 205 nt
Filed under: Cavia porcellus (domestic guinea pig)
Lineage: Eukaryota; Metazoa; Chordata; Mammalia; Rodentia; Caviidae
Description: lncRNA (ENSCPOG00000038814.1)
Source: RNAcentral
CAAGGUCUGGAAACUGCGUGAGGCUUUUCCGGGAGCUGAAAGCUGUCCUCGGUGAUCCGCCAGGGAGUGCUCGCCGUGCAUGAAGAGUUACCACCUUCCUCCAGCCCCGGACGAAACUUUUAAAAUCAAGAGAUUUAUACAGGUCGGGAAACUGAGAUUCGGUUGCAGAGAUUCACAAAGAGCCCCAACAGAGGAAAGGAGCUAA